UACGUAGGGAGCUAGCGUUGUUCGGAAUUACUGGGCGUAAAGCGCACGUAGGCGGCUUUUUAAGUCAGGGGUGAAAUCCCGGGGCUCAACCCCGGAACUGCCUUUGAAACUGGAGAGCUAGAAUCUUGGAGAGGCGAGUGGAAUUCCGAGUGUAGAGGUGAAAUUCGUAGAUAUUCGGAAGAACACCAGUGGCGAAGGCGACUCGCUGGACAAGUAUUGACGCUGAGGUGCGAAAGCGUGGGGAGCAAACAGG
Molecule: ribosomal RNA, 253 nt
Filed under: uncultured bacterium
Lineage: Bacteria
Description: partial 16S ribosomal RNA
Rfam family: Bacterial small subunit ribosomal RNA
Source: RNAcentral